Molecule: non-coding RNA, 26 nt
Filed under: Cricetulus griseus (Chinese hamster)
Lineage: Eukaryota; Metazoa; Chordata; Mammalia; Rodentia; Cricetidae
Source: RNAcentral
UAGAGGACCAAAGGGACCUGAAGAGA